GAUGAACGCUGGCGGCGUGCCUAAUACAUGCAAGUCGAGCGAACAGACGCGGAGCUUGCUCCUCUGACGUUAGCGGCGGACGGGUGAGUAACACGUGGAUAACCUACCUAUAAGACUGGGAUAACUUCGGGAAACCGGAGCUAAUACCGGAUAAUAUAUUGAACCGCAUGGUUCAAUAGUGAAAUACGGUUUUGCUGUCACUUCUAGAUGGAUCCGCGCCGCAUUAGCUAGUUGGUAAGGUAACGGCUUACCAAGGCAACGAUGCGUAGCCGACCUGAGAGGGUGAUAGGCCACACGGGAACUGAGACACGGUCCAGACUCCUGCGGGAGGCAGCAGUAGGGAAUCUUCCGCAAUAGGCGAAAGCCUGACGGAGCAACGCCGCGUGAGUGAUGAAGGUGUUCGGAGCGUAAAAAUCUGUUAUUAGGGAAGAACAAAUGUGUAAGUAACUAUGCACGUCUUGACGGUACCUAAUCAGAAAGCCACGGCUAACUACGUG
RNAcentral lists this ribosomal RNA (497 nucleotides) under uncultured bacterium. RNAcentral describes it as "partial 16S ribosomal RNA". It matches the Rfam family "Bacterial small subunit ribosomal RNA", at positions 28 to 507 of the family's 1533-position model. The record is from RNAcentral.